This 761-nucleotide ribosomal RNA is filed under the name Prevotella melaninogenica. RNAcentral's name for it is "bacterial SSU rRNA". It matches the Rfam family "Bacterial small subunit ribosomal RNA", at positions 28 to 776 of the family's 1533-position model. The record is from RNAcentral. Lineage: Bacteria; Pseudomonadati; Bacteroidota; Bacteroidia; Bacteroidales; Prevotellaceae.
GAUGAACGCUAGCUACAGGCUUAACACAUGCAAGUCGAGGGGAAACGGCAUUUAGUGCUUGCACCGAAUGGACGUCGACCGGCGCACGGGCGAGUAACGCGUAUCCAACCUACCCAUUACUGUGGGAUAACCUGCCGAAAGGCAGACUAAUACCGCAUAGUCUUCGAUGACGGCAUCAGAUUUGAAGUAAAGAUUUAUCGGUAAUGGAUGGGGAUGCGUCUGAUUAGCUUGUUGGCGGGGUAACGGCCCACCAAGGCAACGAUCAGUAGGGGUUCUGAGAGGAAGGUCCCCCACAUUGGAACUGAGAUACGGUCCAAACUCCUACGGGAGGCAGCAGUGAGGAAUAUUGGUCAAUGGGCGCGAGCCUGAACCAGCCAAGUAGCGUGCAGGAUGACGGCCCUAUGGGUUGUAAACUGCUUUUGUAUGGGGAUAAAGUCAAUCACGUGUGAUUGUUUGCAGGUACCAUACGAAUAAGGACCGGCUAAUUCCGUGCCAGCAGCCGCGGUAAUACGGAAGGUCCGGGCGUUAUCCGGAUUUAUUGGGUUUAAAGGGAGCGUAGGCCGGAGAUUAAGUGUGUUGUGAAAUGUAGACGCUCAACGUCUGACUUGCAGCGCAUACUGGUUUCCUUGAGUACGCACAACGUUGGCGGAAUUCGUCGUGUAGCGGUGAAAUGCUUAGAUAUGACGAAGAACUCCGAUUGCGAAGGCAGCUGACGGGAGCGCAACUGACGCUUAAGCUCGAAGGUGCGGGUAUCGAACAGG